CCUACGGGCGGCAGCAGUGGGGAAUAUUGGACAAUGGGGGCAACCCUGAUCCAGCCAUGCCGCGUGUGUGAAGAAGGCCCUCGGGUUGUAAAGCACUUUCAGUGAGGAAGAACGCCUGGUGGUUAAUACCCAUCAGGAAAGACAUCACUCACAGAAGAAGCACCGGCUAACUCCGUGCCAGCAGCCGCGGUAAUACGGAUGGUGCGAGCGUUAAUCGGAAUUACUGGGCGUAAAGCGCGCGUAGGUGGCUUGAUAAGCCGGUUGUGAAAGCCCCGGGCUCAACCUGGGAACGGCAUCCGGAACUGUCAAGCUAGAGUGCAGUAGAGGAAGGUAGAAUUCCCGGUGUAGCGGUGAAAUGCGUAGAGAUCGGGAGGAAUACCAGUGGCGAAGGCGGCCUUCUGGACUGACACUGACGCUGAGGUGCGAAAGCGUGGGUAGCAAACAGGAUUAGAUACCCCGGUAGUC
RNAcentral lists this ribosomal RNA (465 nucleotides) under Vreelandella stevensii. RNAcentral describes it as "partial 16S ribosomal RNA". It matches the Rfam family "Bacterial small subunit ribosomal RNA", at positions 338 to 795 of the family's 1533-position model. The record is from RNAcentral. Lineage: Bacteria; Pseudomonadati; Pseudomonadota; Gammaproteobacteria; Oceanospirillales; Halomonadaceae.